GACGAACGCUGGCGGCGUGCUUAACACAUGCAAGUCGAACGGAAAGGCCUCUUUCGGGGGGUACUCGAGUGGCGAACGGGUGAGUAACACGUGAGUAACCUGCCCUUGACUUUGGGAUAACUUCAGGAAACUGGGGCUAAUACCGGAUAGGAGCUCCUGCUGCAUGGUGGGGGUUGGAAAGUUUCGGCGGUUGGGGAUGGACUCGCGGCUUAUCAGCUUGUUGGUGGGGUAGCGGCUUACCAAGGCUUUGACGGGUAGCCGGCCUGAGAGGGUGACCGGCCACAUUGGGACUGAGAUACGGCCCAGACUCCGACGGGAGGCAGCAGUGGGGAAUAUUGCACAAGGGGUGGAAGCCGGAUGCAGCAACGCCGUGUGCGGGAUGACGGCCUUCGGGUUGUAAACCGCUUUCGUUCAUGACGAAGCUUUGUGUGACGGUAGUGGGUAAAGAAGCACCGGCUAACUACGUG
Molecule: ribosomal RNA, 467 nt
Filed under: uncultured bacterium
Lineage: Bacteria
Description: partial 16S ribosomal RNA
Rfam family: Bacterial small subunit ribosomal RNA
Source: RNAcentral